UCUUGCGCAAUGGGCGAAAGCGUGACGAUCAGACGCCGCGGGUGGGAUGAGGGCGUUUGGGUUGUAAACCUUUUACAUCACAGAUGAAGUUGCUCCCACGUGUGGGUGUGGUGACGGUAUGUCAGAAGAAGCAACACCAACUACGUUCCCGCAGCCGCGGUAAUAAAUAGGGAGCGAGCGUUGUCUGGAAAUAUAAGCGUAAAGAAGUCGUAGGCGGUUUGUGGAUUCUUCCGUGAAAGUCCGGGGGUCAAUUCCGGAUGAGCGGUGGGUACGGGCAGAGAAGAGUGAUGUAGGGGAGAGUGGAAUCCUUUUUGUAGCACUGAACUGAGUAGAUAUCGAAAGGAACACCACUAGCGAAGGCGAGUCCCUGGACAACUCACGUUGUUAAGGCAAGAAAGAUAAGGGAGCAAACAGGAUUAGAUACCCCGGUUAUCUUAGCCGUAAAAGGUGGGCAUUUGGUGUGAGAGGAAUCGA
Molecule: ribosomal RNA, 474 nt
Filed under: uncultured bacterium
Lineage: Bacteria
Description: bacterial SSU rRNA
Rfam family: Bacterial small subunit ribosomal RNA
Source: RNAcentral